GUGAGGAAUAUUGGUCAAUGGGCGGAAGCCUGAACCAGCCAAGUCGCGUGAGGGAAGAAGGCCCUGCGGGUCGCAGACCUCUUUGGACGGGGAGCAAGGCCGCCGACGUGUCGGCGGAAGGAGAGUACCCGUAGAACAAGCAUCGGCUAACUCCGUGCCAGCAGCCGCGGUAAUACGGAGGAUGCGAGCGUUAUCCGGAUUUAUUGGGUUUAAAGGGAGCGUAGAUGGGUUGUUAAGUCAGUUGUGAAAGUUUGCGGCUCAACCGUAAAAUUGCAAUUGAUACUGGCGUCCUUGAGUACAGUUGAGGUGGGCGGAAUUCGUGGUGUAGCGGUGAAAUGCUUAGAUAUCACGAAGAACUCCUAUUGCGAAGGCAGCUCACUAAACUGCAACUGACAUUGAGGCUCGAAAGUGUGGGUAUCAAACAGG
RNAcentral lists this ribosomal RNA (426 nucleotides) under uncultured bacterium. Its description in RNAcentral is "bacterial SSU rRNA". It matches the Rfam family "Bacterial small subunit ribosomal RNA", at positions 354 to 776 of the family's 1533-position model. The record is from RNAcentral.